GUGUCAGCAGCCGCGGUAAUACGAAGGGGGCUAGCGUUGCUCGGAAUUACUGGGCGUAAAGGGAGCGUAGGCGGACAUUUAAGUCAGGGGUGAAAUCCCGGGGCUCAACCUCGGAACUGCCUUUGAUACUGGGUGUCUUGAGUGUGAUAGAGGUAUGUGGAACUCCGAGUGUAGAGGUGAAAUUCGUAGAUAUUCGGAAGAACACCAGUGGCGAAGGCGACAUACUGGAUCAUUACUGACGCUGAGGCUCGAAAGCGUGGGGAGCAAACAGGAUUAGAUACCCUGGUAGUCCACGCCGUAAACGAUGAUUGCUAGUUGUCGGGGUGUUUACACCUCGGUGACGCAGCUAACGCAUUAAGUAAUCCGCCUGGGGAGUACGGUCGCAAGAUUAAA
RNAcentral lists this ribosomal RNA (393 nucleotides) under uncultured bacterium. RNAcentral's name for it is "bacterial SSU rRNA". It matches the Rfam family "Bacterial small subunit ribosomal RNA", at positions 505 to 898 of the family's 1533-position model. The record is from RNAcentral.